Molecule: ribosomal RNA, 406 nt
Filed under: uncultured bacterium
Lineage: Bacteria
Description: partial 16S ribosomal RNA
Rfam family: Bacterial small subunit ribosomal RNA
Source: RNAcentral
GACGAACGCUGGCGGCGCGCUUAACACAUGCAAGUCGAGCGAAGCGGCGGACGGGUGAGUAACACGUGAGUAACCUGCCUUAGACAUUGGGAUAGCCUCGGGAAACCGGGAUUAAUACCAAAUGGUCUAAGAUGGACUCGAGUCCCAUUAGCUAGUUGGUGGGUAACGGCCCACCAAGGCGACGAUGGUUAGCCGGCCUGUGUGGGUGAACGGUGACAUUGGAGCUGAGCAUCGGUCCAAACGCUACGGGAGGCAGCAGUGGGUAAUAUUGCCCAAUGGAGGGAACUCUGAUGCAGCGAGGCCGCGUGAACUAAGAAGGCUUUCGAGUCGUAAAGUUCUUUUAUAUGGGACGCGGUACCAUAAGAAAAAGCCCCGGCUAACUACGUGCCAGCAGCCGCGGUAAUAC